AAACUCGACGAUGAAGAAUUGGUCGCCUACAUGCUCCAAGGUCUUGGCUCAGAGUAUGAUUCUCUGGUCACGAGCAUCACAACGCGCACCGACAUCUACACCAUCAGCGAUGUGUAUGCACACAUGCUGAGCUCUGAGA
RNAcentral lists this small nucleolar RNA (139 nucleotides) under Dichanthelium oligosanthes. RNAcentral's name for it is "Small nucleolar RNA Z247". It matches the Rfam family "Small nucleolar RNA Z247". From Rfam's summary of the family: Z247 is a member of the C/D class of snoRNA which contain the C (UGAUGA) and D (CUGA) box motifs. Most of the members of the box C/D family function in directing site-specific 2'-O-methylation of substrate RNAs. The record is from Rfam by way of RNAcentral. Lineage: Eukaryota; Viridiplantae; Streptophyta; Magnoliopsida; Poales; Poaceae.